This 408-nucleotide ribosomal RNA is filed under the name uncultured bacterium. RNAcentral describes it as "partial 16S ribosomal RNA". It matches the Rfam family "Bacterial small subunit ribosomal RNA", at positions 28 to 526 of the family's 1533-position model. The record is from RNAcentral.
GACGAACGCUGGCGGCGUGCUUAACACAUGCAAGUCGAACGAAGUGGCGAACGGGUGAGUAAUACGUGAGUAACCUGCCCUCCUUUUUGGGAUAAGCCUUGGAAACGGGGUCUAAUACCGGAUAAAGGGGGAUGGGCUCGCGGCCUGUCAGCUUGUUGGUGGGGUGAUGGCCUACCAAGGCGGUGACGGGUAGCCGGCCUGAGAGGGGGACCGGCAACGUGGGGAGUGAGAGACGGCCCAGACUCCUACGGGAGGCAGCAGUGGGGGAUAUUGCACAAUGGGCGCAAGCCUGAUGCAGGGACGCCGCGUGGGGGAUGAAGGCUUUAGGGUUGUAAACCUCUUUCGGUACAGAACGGGUAUGUGCAGAAGAAGCGCCGGCUAACUACGUGCCAGCAGCCGCGGUAAUUC